Molecule: ribosomal RNA, 609 nt
Filed under: Triticum aestivum (bread wheat)
Lineage: Eukaryota; Viridiplantae; Streptophyta; Magnoliopsida; Poales; Poaceae
Description: partial small subunit ribosomal RNA
Source: RNAcentral
AUGGCGGCACGGCACCGGCGCCACCACGUCGAGGCACCGAAGCCAGCAUGGCUCGUGACGAUCAAGGCUGCUCCGCCUGCGCCGGCGAGGGGCGACGCUGCCAAGAAGCUCGCCGCGCCCGCUCGCUCGCCGAUCCUGCUGUCCCCGUCGGCAUGGCAGAAGGCGCAGCUCGACAAGAAGGACGUGGCCGUCGGUGACCGUGGCGACACCGGGGUCGCGCCGGCGCCGGCGUCGCCGAGGAUCGGCUGCAUGGGGCAGGUCAAGGGCACACAGAGAUGCUCGAGGGCACGCUGCCCGGCCUCCUCGAGGGGACCGGCGGCGUCGGGCCUCCCGUGCGGCAGCCUGGCGGGGCUGCUGAUGGGGCUAUUCGGCUGGCGGUCGACGGGGAGGAAGACGCGCGCAUACUCCAAGGUCCGGGACGUGGCGAGUGACACGUCGUCUUCAGGGAGCGCAAGGGGUGCCCGUGCGCCGAGCCCGCUUGAGCUCGACCCACCGCUGCCGGUGCCGGCGCCGGUGGUGAGACGGCCGGCCUUGGAAGAGAACGCCCCCAGCCUUUGGGAGCGGCGGCGCGGCGGCGCAAAGGUCCUGGAGGGUCUCCAGCUAGCGUAG